CAGCCGCCACGGGAAUACGAAGGGGGCUAGCGUUGUUCGGAAUUACUGGGCGUAAAGCGCACGUAGGCGGAUACUUAAGUCAGGGGUGAAAUCCCGGGGCUCAACCCCGGAACUGCCUUUGAUACUGGGUAUCUCGAGUCCGGAAGAGGUGAGUGGAAUUCCGAGUGUAGAGGUGAAAUUCGUAGAUAUUCGGAGGAACACCAGUGGCGAAGGCGGCUCACUGGUCCGGUACUGACGCUGAGGUGCGAAAGCGUGGGGAGCAAACAGGAUUAGAUACCCGGGUAGUCCCUGUCUCUUAUAC
This 301-nucleotide ribosomal RNA is filed under the name uncultured bacterium. Its description in RNAcentral is "partial 16S ribosomal RNA". It matches the Rfam family "Bacterial small subunit ribosomal RNA", at positions 509 to 807 of the family's 1533-position model. The record is from RNAcentral.